UACGUAGGCAGCGAGCGUUGUUCGGAAUUACUGGGCGUAAAGAGUGUGUAGGCGGUGUUCCCAGUCUGUUGUGAAAUCUCCCGGCUUAACUGGGAGGGUGCAGCGGAAACUAGAAUGCUAGAGGGUGGGAGAGGUAAGCGGAAUUCCUGGUGUAGCGGUGAAAUGCGUAGAUAUCAGGAAGAACACCAAUGGCGAAGGCAGCUCUCUGGGACGGUACUGACGCUGAGACGCGAAAGCGUGGGGAGCGAACAGG
RNAcentral lists this ribosomal RNA (253 nucleotides) under uncultured bacterium. RNAcentral describes it as "partial 16S ribosomal RNA". It matches the Rfam family "Bacterial small subunit ribosomal RNA", at positions 524 to 776 of the family's 1533-position model. The record is from RNAcentral.